Molecule: long non-coding RNA, 633 nt
Filed under: Androctonus crassicauda
Lineage: Eukaryota; Metazoa; Arthropoda; Arachnida; Scorpiones; Buthidae
Source: RNAcentral
GUCAUCGGCAACUAGCGGGUCACAUGUUUGCAAUAGAGGUUCCAACUGUAUCGCCACAUUUUCUCCUGUUGGGAUGUUAUGUAUCAAAGUGUUGGGUCCUAACUUCAGUACUUCAUCUACAAAGUCUGGCACUGUUAUUCCAUCUAACGUCACAUGUGUUACGUUUUGUUACAUCUGUCUUCUUGAGUUGCUUGAAGAUAAGCCAUUUAAGCUUCUUUUUAUACCUAUUAUUAACUAGUCUUUGGUUCUUACGGAUAAAUUGGGAAAACGAUGGCAGGACUUCAUGAAGAUUCUCAACCUUAGCAUUCCUUAAGCCUUUCUGUGCCAAGUGAUUUUUUCAUCUAAAUAGAUCCCUUCUCACAUCCAUAAUCACUGCGGAUAAGCAGUUCCUCUUAGUUCUGAGAAGUAAACUCUUUGAUCUUACCGGUAACUUUAUUCGGAAAAUGGAAUUUGGAAAAACGCCAUUCAGCCUACAUUGCUUUAGGAAUAUGAACCUUUCUUCUAACACAAUCAGUUCCUUAAGUUCUGUCCCUGAGAUAUCGGCCAGCUCAGCCUGCAUACUAUAGAAAUGAGCGAUGAUAAUUAACACUGCCUGAUAAUAAUUACACAUCGUCACUAAAAGCACUAAGGCAG